RNAcentral lists this long non-coding RNA (641 nucleotides) under Brassica napus (rape). RNAcentral describes it as "long non-coding RNA (BNAP_LNC012634)". Lineage: Eukaryota; Viridiplantae; Streptophyta; Magnoliopsida; Brassicales; Brassicaceae. The record is from RNAcentral.
GUGUUUUAUUGCUUUUAUGUGGUUAUAAAUCUGGUGUUAUAAUAUCUGAGUUGUAAACAUACUUUUUUGUAGAUUGUUGGAACAUCGAAACAAGGUUGUGUAUUUGGAAUCGGAUCACUCCAAAGAGGUGAUUUAAUGCCUUUAGAGUCUUCGACGGUUUAUCCACUAGGGAAUGCAGAAGUGGGAACAUUUACUCAUCGAGUGGACGAGCUUGAAGCUGAAUUGCAAAAGAGUCGUGAUGAGAACGAACUCCUCAAGAAACAAAUGGUCACAUAAAAUGACGGUUUUGUGACUUGAUUAUUAGUUGGUAAUUGUGACCGUUUUGUCACUUUUAUGCUCCGUCACGAAUUGUGUCGGAAUUGUUACGGUCUCAAUAUGUCACAACACUGUUACGUUUUUGAUACCAGAAAAAAAUUUGUGAUGAUUGUAUUGCAACCGUUUACAAACGGUUACAAAUACGUCACAAUAUCAAUAUUGUGACGAAAUGUUUUUCUGUGACGAAAAAAUCCGUUACAAUAUACUUAUUUUCUUGUAGCUAGUGUAGGUCGAAACAAAGUCUUAUAACAUACUUAUAGAACCAUGUGUGUCAGUGUGUGGCUUCUGGAGAUCUGAUGUGUUAAGAGCAUCAAACUAAAGAUUUC